CUUUUAGAAAAAUAACUUUUAAUGAUCUCUCUGUUGUUAUUUUGUCAUUGUUGUCCUUGGUCGCCAUAUUUACCAAAGGGUAAAUAAAUAUGGCGACCAAGGACAGCAAGGAGAGAACAGUGUUUGAGAUGCAAAAAGUUCUGGUCUGGUUUUCUUUUUAGAAAUGCUUUGAAACUGGGGAAUGGCUGAACAAAUUGUGGUAUAUGUUGGUGAUGGAAUACUAUUGUGCUAUAAAAAAUGAUCAGGCAGGAUGAUUUCAGAAAAAGCUAGAAAGACCUACAUGAACUGAUGCAGAGAGAAAUAAUCAGAACCAGCAGAACAUUAUACACAGUAGCAGCAAUUUUGUGCCAUGAUCAACUGUGAAACACUUAGAUACUCUCAGCAAUACAAUGAUCUUAGCAAUACAAGAUAGUGAAAUGGGCAAAGUGUGAACUCAGAGCAUGUUUUAUCUUUCCCCCAUUUUCAGCAACUCUUUUCAGAAAGGCAGAGAUGAAAAGGAUCUAGCAACAUAAAGGGACAAUUCUGAAGGACUUAUGACAAAGAAUGCUAUCCACCUCCAGAAAAAGAACUGAUGGAGUCAGAUGCAGAUCAAAGCAUACUAUCUUUCAUGAUUUGUCAUUGCUGCUGCUGUUACUGCAGUUGCUGUUGCCAGGACCAAACACCUCUGGCACAGCCUCAUUAGUCACUACCUAAGCUGCCCUGACAAGUGGAUAAAAGGAAAGAAGACCUCUUUUAGGCAUGGAGGGAAAGUGAGACUUUGGAGCUUUUGCCUAUUCCAGAGAAAAUCAAUAGCUAUCGCGGGGAUGUUGAAGCCACAGAGGGUUCCUUCCGUUUCCAUCGCAGCUAAUUACGAAAGUGACAGGGCUUGUCAGGACCUGUUCAGAGAUCAGAAUUAA
This 896-nucleotide long non-coding RNA is filed under the name Monodelphis domestica (gray short-tailed opossum). RNAcentral's name for it is "lncRNA (ENSMODG00000033530.2)". Lineage: Eukaryota; Metazoa; Chordata; Mammalia; Didelphimorphia; Didelphidae. The record is from RNAcentral.